RNAcentral lists this ribosomal RNA (495 nucleotides) under uncultured bacterium. RNAcentral describes it as "partial 16S ribosomal RNA". It matches the Rfam family "Bacterial small subunit ribosomal RNA", at positions 28 to 523 of the family's 1533-position model. The record is from RNAcentral.
GAUGAACGCUGGCGGCGUGCUUAACACAUGCAAGUCGAGCGAAGCGAUUUUAAGGAAGCCUUCGGGUGGAAUUAAAAUUGACUUAGCGGCGGACGGGUGAGUAACACGUGGGUAACCUGCCUCAUACAGGGGGAUAACAGUUAGAAAUGACUGCUAAUACCGCAUAAGCGCACAGUGCUGCAUAGCACAGUGUGAAAAACUCCGGUGGUAUGAGAUGGACCCGCGUCUGAUUAGGUAGUUGGUGAGGUAACGGCCCACCAAGCCGACGAUCAGUAGCCGACCUGAGAGGGUGACCGGCCACAUUGGGACUGAGACACGGCCCAAACUCCUACGGGAGGCAGCAGUGGGGAAUAUUGGACAAUGGGGGAAACCCUGACCCAGCGACGCCGCGUGACUGAAGAAGUAUUUCGGUAUGUAAAGGUCUAUCAGCAGGGAAGAAAAUGACGGUACCUGACUAAGAAGCCCCGGCUAACUACGUGCCAGCCGCCGCCGUAA